UGUCACACCAGGACUUCCUGAGGAAAGGAAUCCAAAGGAAAGUUCCAUGGCAAAUCAAAGUGGAAAAUGGGAACUCAGGCAUCUCGAAGCAAUGAUGUGUAGAGAGUUGUGGGCUAGCUGAGAUGCUGAAGUAGCUGUAAGAGCAGCCUACUACUCAGGCAGGAAAGUGGCAGAAGGAAGGGCUCAGACUACUAAACUUCCACUGAGCGCCAUUCAUCAAGACAAUGCUGUGCUAGGAGCUGCCACCAAGCUUACUGUUAAGGAGUAACAGCUGUCCAGACACAGGAAGAUAACUGCCAAGGACCUGACUGCUAAUCUCUGGUGUUUUUCAGAUUGCAUUAUGGUAUCAAGGUCAACAUCGUUUGCAAACGCAUAAACAAAUCUGGUGUAGGAAUUACUGGGUGAAGUGCUAUUCCCAGGAGUAUUUGGAGGAUCACACUAGAUGAUGAGUGGUCUCUUCUGGCUUUAAAUCCACACUUCUCUGAAAUUCCCAUUCCUUUGCAGAGCCCUGCAGGCCUGGCAGACAGGCCUCGCCUCCCUCACUUUCUCCUUCUCCCUCUCUUUCCCUGUCUUCCUCCUCUCCAGCAAACAGCUUGGGUCCAUGUGCAAAACUGUUCUUCCAGUGCAAAGGACAGAAGUAUUUGGGUUGGUUUUGAAUGUUUAAUCUCUCACUGGUCUUCGUUAAUUUUGUGUAUGAGAUCUCAGGUGGGCCCCGGGAAGAUGCCUGGCUUCAGUCAUGGUUUCUUGAUGUGACUUUGGGCUAUGUGCCUGUGGGUGGAUGUGUUUUGGGGUGAAAGCUUCUGGUUGGGUGGAUUGUCCUGUCAAAGCUGGCAGAUUACUCAGCUCUCUGAUUUGGUUUGGUUUGGUGUAGUUGCCUUUGGCAUGGCAGCAGGCAGGGAGGCUGCAGCUCGCUCUGCAGCAAGAGUAAGGAAGUCUCAGAGGGCCACACACCUGUGAACUCAGCAUAGCUUGCACAAUUAAUAACACAAUUAAAAUCUGGGACUUUGAAACAAAGCCAGUCAUUUCUCCCGAUUGUUGGCUGAGGCCUAUUUGUACAGAGAGAAGAAUGGCAGCAUGAAAUGGGAAGGAUUACUGAGGGAGAAAACAUAGCAACAGCACAGCCUCGUCACUUAGUAACAGGGAAGAAUUGUGAUGAAGAAGGAAUGAAUGUAUAUAAAUAAAAUAUUCAGGAAUAUACAUAUUCAUUAGAGCGAUAUCCAGAAAACAGAGAGGUGAAAGGCAAUAGCUAAGUGUCUAAAAAUGUUCUUUAAUGAAAAAGAAUUUUAAAUAUCUGUCUCCGCCCUUCAAAGCUGUGUGAUGGCAUUAUCUUCCCAUGUGAAGCUAUGCUAUUUCAUGUCCUCAUAUGUUCCUCCCCCCGUCCCUUCACCCUGAGUGCCAGGGAAGUCUGACAGAUGAACCUUCCUGGAUCGCUUUAUGUUCCCAGACAUGAGUUGCUGGUUUAUUAUCCUAACCACGUCUAUGUGAGUAAUGUUCCUUAUGUGUCGUCAUGCCCAGUGCUGAUGAAUACACAGUGAUAUAUUUCAGCUCCAAAGAGCAUCCCAAUUAAUUUGCCUGUUAUGGUCUUUUGCACCAGGACCAAAAGCGUGUUCUUCACUUUUAUGAUUGCUUUCCUUGCCCCCUGAACCAGAAGAAGAGGAGAAGACAGAGAAGCAAUGCUGGUUAGUAAAUGAAACUCUGUCCACACCUUCACACUUAUAUUUAUUCCAGAGACAUCAGCUUUAAUUUAGGGGGGGAAAAAAAACAACAACAAACAAACAAAAUCAAAACCUCAAUAAUCUGAAAUUCAAAUCAGUUUCAGGGAAGAAAGACUGAGAGCUUGGAAGCAAUUGCAAAACAAGAUUUUACGUUAUUAGAUGUUGUUCUCCUACCUUGGAUAUUUAAUCAAAUGCCCAGGCCUGUUCCCACAUAAAGUGAAAGAUUAAUCAUCACACUUAUAAAUCAUUCUUCUCAUCUCCCUCUCAUUUACACCAGAGUCGCUCUCUUCUCUUUCAGUGGUCUGGAAACUACUGCCCCUUAUCUUUUGGUUCUCCUUUUGUGAGGGCUUAACGUGGCUUUGUAAGUAAAUGUUAGGCACUCUCUUUUCUUGCUUAUUUUGUAUAUGACAAAUUGACAACAGGGAUGAGCUUUUCUCUUCAAUCCACUGUUUUUAAUAAAUAUUUUACCUUGCAGUACUGAAACACUAGUUAUGAAUUUUCAUGAGCAACUUCUCAUAAAUCUUCUUAACAACUCUUCACAGAAACCGGGGCUGUAAAAGCACCAUGCCUGGCUAGGCACAGGUCAUCUGGUAUUUUGUUUCUCUUUCUGCUGUUGAGUACUUUCGGGGAUUGAAUGGAACAUUUAACACAGUGAAAGGUGCUAUCCCAGACUGCAUUCAUCUCAGCCAGUGCAAAAAUUUGAUGUGACUGGAGGCUAUACAAUGUGCUUGUGGGCUGGUUAUCAGUUACUUUUGGUAGAUCCCUGAGAUAAAAAUUGCUCCUGUUUGGGAAAUACUCAAAAGAAUUCACAUUUGUGUUUGGAUGUGUACCAAGAUCACAUUUGGUGUUUUCCAUCUGAAAUUUUCAUAGUAAACUUAGCAGCAUGUAUUUAAAAUGAAAAUGCAUUUAAAAUUUAUCUUGAUGCAUAAAUAUUAACAGGAUUAGUUUUGCUGUGCAGCGUGAGCCCACAGUCCACCGUCUGAUCAGGAGCUGGUGGGGUCAGUAAAUGAGCCCCAUGUGAAAAGAUCCACUGGUGGAGCACAAGGACACUGCAGAAGACCUGAGCAAAGGCUUUGCCAUGGUGUUCACUGCAGAGACGCUGUGAGCAGGGAGUGAGCCUAAGGAGCCACCUCCAGUGGAGGUGUCAGGAAAAGGCAUGUUAGAACAAAUUGAUAAAACCAAACAUUAACAAAUUCUCAGCACCAGAUGGUGUUUACCCAGGAGUCCUGAGGAAAAAAAAAAAAAAAAUAAUAAUAAAAUUCUGAAUUACAAACUGUGUGUAAUCUGGCGCUACAAUCAGCUCUGGUUUCAGAGGGAUGGAAAUGGAAAUGCUACACCAGGCUUUGAACAGGGCUUCACGGGAGAUCCUGGGAGCUCAUGGUCAGUCAAGGCUUUCCUUUGUCGUGGUCACAGACUUGGCUGGAGUUCUGAGAAGGAGUACGGGUGUUGGGAGGAGGAUCAGAAUCAGACCUGACAGCCACAAUAACUCUUUGAAGAAUUUAAUGUUUUUCUUUAUCUGGGCUAUGCGGCUUUCAAGACAGCCUUCAAAAAGCAAGAAAGGCUCCUAAAGAACCACAUUUAUUACAGAACAGCAGAGAUUACUCUCUAGUAGAUUAACCCCAGAAAAGAUAGGGUUGGAAGGAAUGGUCACCUUGUAUGACAGGAGGAGGUCCCACAAACACCGGUCCUGGGCCUGAUGUUCAGCAUCUUCCUCUGUGGCCCGGGGAAGGUGGCACAAGCAAAUGGUGGCAAUGUUUACAACCAUGCUAUUCAAAAUAACCACAGCUCGUGCUGACUGUGAAGAGAGGCUGAAAUAGCUCACUGCACCAAAAUGAAAUUCUGUGUUGGGGCUGCCAUGGGAGAAGUGACUACAUAUACAAACUUGCAAUCUCUUAGCUCAGCAAUGAAAAAUGAAAGACAGCUUGAGUCAUUGCAGAGAGUUUGCUAAAAGCACCCCACCGUGACUCAGUGGGCAAGCUGGCGGUCAGAUCUGAAGCAGGAAGGAUGCUCUUCUCCCCACACUGCCCUCAUGCAUUGAGGAUGCCCAAAUAGAAGCGGGCUCAGGGAGCCAGCUGCACGCUACUUUUACACUCAGGAGAAUGGAAGCAAGCUAGUGGUGGGCUCUGUUAUGUCUUAGCUUCCUCCCUUCCCUGUCUGAAAACAUUACUGCUUCUUUUCCUGAAGAAGGGACACUCAGCUCUCUGCUGUCCCUGCACUAUCCAUGUGAAA
Molecule: long non-coding RNA, 3944 nt
Organism: Oxyura jamaicensis (ruddy duck)
Lineage: Eukaryota; Metazoa; Chordata; Aves; Anseriformes; Anatidae
Exons: 4
Source: RefSeq, a predicted model, not a curated record